UGACGGCCGUACCAUGCUGAAUAUACCGGUUCUCGUUAGAUCACCGAAGUUAAGCAUCAUUGGGCGCGGUCAAUACUUGGGUGGGUGACCACCUGGGAACACUGCGUGCCGUU
RNAcentral lists this ribosomal RNA (113 nucleotides) under Caerostris darwini. The record is from RNAcentral. Lineage: Eukaryota; Metazoa; Arthropoda; Arachnida; Araneae; Araneidae.